Molecule: long non-coding RNA, 86 nt
Organism: Maniola jurtina (meadow brown)
Lineage: Eukaryota; Metazoa; Arthropoda; Insecta; Lepidoptera; Nymphalidae
Exons: 3
Source: RefSeq, a predicted model, not a curated record
GCUAACCUGGAAGGGUAUUAUAGUUUCAUUAAGCCCAUACUCCUGAUCGGUUCACAUACGCGUCAUCGCACCAGAACGCUAAGUGG